Molecule: transfer RNA, 64 nt
Filed under: Platydema sp. PLA01
Lineage: Eukaryota; Metazoa; Arthropoda; Insecta; Coleoptera; Tenebrionidae
Description: tRNA-Pro
Source: RNAcentral
CAAGAAGUAGUUUAAUUUAAAAUAUUAAUUUUGGAGAUUAAUGAUAAGAGUUUCUUUUUCUUGA